CUUUAACGCUGGCGGCAGGCCUAACACAUGCAAGUCGAGCGGAUGAAGGGAGCUUGCUCCUGGAUUCAGCGGCGGACGGGUGAGUAAUGCCUAGGAAUCUGCCUGGUAGUGGGGGAUAACGUCCGGAAACGGGCGCUAAUACCGCAUACGUCCUGAGGGAGAAAGUGGGGGAUCUUCGGACCUCACGCUAUCAGAUGAGCCUAGGUCGGAUUAGCUAGUUGGUGGGGUAAAGGCCUAUCAAGGCGACGAUCCGUAACUGGUCUGAGAGGAUGAUCAGUCACACUGGAACUGAGACACGGUCCAGACUCCUACGGGAGGCAGCAGUGGGGAAUAUUGGACAAUGGGCGAAAGCCUGAUCCAGCCAUGCCGCGUGUGUGAAGAAGGUCUUCGGAUUGUAAAGCACUUUAAGUUGGGAGGAAGGGCAGUAAGUUAAUACCUUGCUGUUUUGACGUUACCAACAGAAUAAGCACCGGCUAACUUCGUG
Molecule: ribosomal RNA, 484 nt
Filed under: uncultured bacterium
Lineage: Bacteria
Description: partial 16S ribosomal RNA
Rfam family: Bacterial small subunit ribosomal RNA
Source: RNAcentral